This 2436-nucleotide long non-coding RNA is filed under the name Xyrichtys novacula (pearly razorfish). The record is from RNAcentral. Lineage: Eukaryota; Metazoa; Chordata; Actinopteri; Labriformes; Labridae.
UGGGGUGCAGCGUCAUGAUUUGUACAACUUUGAAUGGCCAUGGGGUGUAGAUUGGCCUGAGCAAAUUUGGUGCCGGAGGAACGAAAGCCUUCGGAGGAGUUAGCGAAAUUCCAAUGUGUGCGGAUCGGCAAAAAAAGCGAAAUAGCCCUUUAACCGUACAUUUGACAGAUACGCCCGCACUGACUUUUUCGUAGAUCUUAUUGAGAUACACAUGUGUGUCAAAUUUUGUGUCAUUUUGACAAAGCGUACAGGCAUCAGGUGACUUUUCACCAUAGGGGGCGCUAUGGAGCCAUUUUUCGUUUUUUUGUUUGGACGACUUCAGAAUAUCAAAUUUUUCACCAGGCCCGGUCGUCCUGCCAAAUUUCCUGAGUUUUCGCCAGUGGGAAGUGGGCCAUUUUCCAGUUUAAAGCGGAGGAAAAAUAACGAAAGAAGAAUCCAUCAGGAACAAGAGGGCUCUCGCAGCUGCUUAGCAGCCCGAGCCGUGUUCCCCCCCCAACGCGCUGCCUCCCUGUCCCAUUUGCGUCCUCUGGCCAUCGCCCUCUCUGGUAACGCCCAUCACUGCAAAGACCCUUUUCCUUCAUCGGCGUUUGCUGUUCUUCCUUCCAGUGCGUGUUGCUUUCACUUACACUUGCCACAGCCAGCCUCGUGAGUGCCUAGCCUAUUGGAUAUCACUGUCACCUACACAGGACAGUCAUUACCUUUCUAUUAAUACUUUGUUUUUUAAUUUCACAUUAAUUUCCAUAUUGUAUAAACGACUGGAAAAAACUUGAGCCCCUGCCCCUGUAUAAUCAUGUGCACGUCCCUGUUCUAGCUCCAAGGUGAAUCUUCACUGCUCAUGUUCUCCUCAGAAGCAGUCACCUCACUACCCUCAGGUUACUGUACACAUACACCAACUGCCUGCUUCAGGUUUGGAUGGAGCUUCAUGGUUGUCUUUUGGAGAAAUGAGCAGUCAAGUUGUGUUUGAAAUUUGAUUUUUUUCAGGGGCAAAAGGAAGCCUCUGCAUUCUUGUCAAAUAUGUAAAUAGCAUGUUUUUGCAGGUGCUAAAAAACAGACUCUGAGUGUGUGUGUGUGUGUGUGUGUGUGUGUGUGUGUGUGUGUGUGUGUGUUGGCGUGUGUGUAUAUGUGUGUGUAUCCUGCAGUACUCUGUACUCCUGCAGUGGCCGAAAAGACUUUUAAGAAUGUGGAUUUUUGGGUCAUCUUUGGCGCCCCCUAGAACUGCAGAACUCUGUACUCCUGCAGUGGCCAAAAUGACUUUUAAGAAUGUGGAUUUUUGGGUCAUCUUUGGCGCCCCAAAGAACUGCAGUACUCUGUACUCCUGCAGUGGCCAAAAUGACUUUUAAGAAUGUGGAUUUUUGGGUCAUUUUGGCGCCCCCUAGAACGUAAACCGUGGGGUGCAGCGUCAUGAUUUUUACAACUUUGAAUGGGCAUGGGGUGUAGAUUGCCCUGAGCAAAUUUGGUAUCGGUGGGACAAAAGCCUUAGGAGGAGAUAGCCACAUUCCAAUGUGUGCGAAUCGGCAAAAAAUGCGAAAUAGCCCUUUAACCGUACAUUUGACAGAUACGUGCCUAUUGACUUUUUUGUAGAUCUUAUUGAGAUACACGUGAUUGUUAAAUUGUGUGUCAAUAUGACAAAGUGUAUAGGCGUGACACUCAACAAUGUGUAUUUUUACCUUAGGAGACAAGAAAAAAUGGACUUUUUUCUCCUGCCAUGGGGGGGCGCUCUUUUGGGGAGUAAAAAUUCCUUCACAAAUGUGUUGAUGGCUGGACAUUGCAUCAUCCUAGAAAACUUGGAGGCCAGUGAGGACAAAAAUAAAAAGUUAUAAGACUUUUAAGAAUGUGGAUUUUUGGGUUAUCUUUGGCGCCCCCUAGAACGUAAACCGUGGGGUGCAGCGUCAUGAUUUGUACAACUUUGAAUGGCCAUGGGGUGUAGAUUGGCCUGAGCAAAUUUGGUGCCGGAGGAACGAAAGCCUUCGGAGGAGUUAGCGAAAUUCCAAUGUGUGCGGAUCGGCAAAAAAAGCGAAAUAGCCCUUUAACCGUACAUUUGACAGAUACGCCCGCACUGACUUUUUCGUAGAUCUUAUUGAGAUACACAUGUGUGUCAAAUUUUGUGUCAUUUUGACAAAGCGUACAGGCAUCAGGUGACUUUUCACCAUAGGGGGCGCUAUGGAGCCAUUUUUCGUUUUUUUGUUUGGACGACUUCAGAAUAUCAAAUUUUUCACCAGGCCCGGUCGUCCUGCCAAAUUUCCUGAGUUUUCGCCAGUGGGAAGUGGGCCAUUUUCCAGUUUAAAGCGGAGGAAAAAUAACGAAAGAAGAAUCCAUCAGGAACAAGAGGGCUCUCGCAGCUGCUUAGCAGCUACGCUCGGGCCCUAAGAAACAAAGAAAAACCACUUGGGGAAUAAUAGGGCUCUCGCAGCUGCUUAGCAGCUACGCUCGGGCCCU